RNA transcript from Manihot esculenta (cassava), 4901 nucleotides. RefSeq lists it as uncharacterized. The transcript is spliced from 6 exons. The record is from RefSeq and is a predicted model, not a curated record. NCBI's taxonomy places the organism in Eukaryota, Viridiplantae, Streptophyta, Magnoliopsida, Malpighiales, Euphorbiaceae.
AAGAAAGUUGAUAUGGAGAUUUCUAAGUUGAAUAAGCAAAUUUACGAAGCUAAUUUUCCACUGUGGGAUGUUCGUCUCGAUGGUUUCUUGGAGGAUCAGUUGCGGGUUUUGAUCGCUCAGUUAGACAAGAAAAUAGAAGUUGCAGAUAGAAAACUUGACAGGUUUCAGGAAAAUCAGAUUCUGAUGGAUGAAUUUGCAAUGAGAAUGCUUUACGGUUCUCAAAUCAUGGAGAAUUACAUGAACAGAAGCAACAGUGUCAGGAAUUUUAGCAACUUUCAUCAGCUUUUCUCUGAUGUCAUGCCAUUGCCAGUUAACUGUUUCCUGCCAGGACAGAGCUCGUAUUUGAUUCCAUCAAAUUCAAACAAUUCAAACUUGCAGAUUUUCUCUGAUUACCAAACAACGAGUCUGAGUAGAAAAUUAAUGGACAGAAACAGUAACAGCAGCAACUUAGCUAACUUGCAGCUGCAACUGUUCUCUGAUCCGAAGCCAUUGGGUGUUCAACUACAAAUGCAUUCCCAGCAAAUCCAGACUUCUCCAGGGACUUCAACAAGUCCAAGUUUUCUGGAAGAUCUGACGAUGAUGGCCAAGGAUCAGUACACUGGCAAUCAAUGUGGUGUCAGGACAAUUAGUAAUGUUCCAAGCUUUCCAAGCCUGUCUUAUCUUAACCCUUCCCCUUUGAUGUGGGACAAUGUGAUGUUCAACAAUGCUGACGCUUCUUUUGGCAAUGUUGGAUCCGCUUUGCAGACAAUCCUUUCGAGAAUGCAACUUCCCAUGUCCAGUAUGAGUAGUUAUCAGAAGAUGGCUUACUUUAUGUAGAAGCCGAUCCAUCAGGAGGAGACACUUGGAAGUUAGAUCCAGUCGUUCAACUUUUGAAGGAGCGAGCUGUGGGUGUCAUUCCUACAGAUACUCUAAACAUUAAUUUGGUCAACUAUUAAGAAGUUAAGACAGACAGAACAGUGAAGAACAGGAAGAAGCCAUAAAUGUCAGAGGUUGAUGGUUGCUCCAAGUAUUCUUGGUUUACAAGGGUUGGGUAAGGUAGAGGUAGUUGGCAGAUCCUAGGUGGCUAGGCCUGAGAUUUUUUCCAGUAAAAGGUAUAUAAAAGUUUGAAGUGCUGGAACUCUUAGAAUGAUAAUUUUCUUCUUCCUUUACCUACAUCCUUUUUACAGCCAGACUGAGGUUAAAGUUUAAUCCAACUCUUCCUCCUGGCUUAUGUUGUGGUGGCCAAAUAUUGGCAUUUAGGUGUACUAAAGUACAGCAUGCUAGACUAAUUGUGUUGAAAGAUCCCCCAUCUAUAUUGUGCUUGAUUUUUAUUCUUUUGUGAUAGGUAUGUGUUAGGAAUCCAGCUACAACUCCAGGGGCAUAUUGGGUAUACACUAGAAGAGGUAAAGCUGCCAAGAGAAUCACCCUUGGGAAUCAAGAAAAAGGAAAAGACACAUCACCACCAAGUUAGUUAGGAAAUGUCAGUAUAAAUAGUAUGUAUGAGGAGAGAGGAGGGCAUCUUUUUGAAUCCAUUUGUAUCAGCAGAAAUUCCUCUGCUCGGGCUUGUCCUAGGGGCUGGCUUACAGUCAUUAUCUUUUAUCUUUUGUUCAUUAUCUGCUUCCCCUACCUGCUGUAAACCCAUUUUUGAUUAGUACAAUCACAGAUAUUCCUCUCCAUAUUCUCUUCUCCUUUAUUUUCUGUUUAAUUGUUGGUUAACGUUUUCGAGUCUCCAUUGUUGGUCGAAUAAUAUCUCUAUUGUCUGUGAAUUUCUUCAUAUAAUUGACUACCCAAUUAUGAUUAUAAAUAAAUUGGGUAAUUACCUUGGCUUGGUCAAUUAUUUUUUUCACACUCUUCUUCUUUUCAAUAUCUUCCAAAAUCAAAUCAAUGCAAUGAGCACUACAAGCAGUCCAAUAUAAAUUAGGGAAUUUCUCCAUCAGUUUCUUCCCUCCUAAUUUAAUGGCAGCUUCGUUGUCCGUUACCACUUGGACAACUUUUUGAGAGCCUAUUUCUUUCACUACUUCUUUCAUAAUUUUAAAAUAGUAUUCUAUAUCUUUAUGUUCCACAUUGGAUGCAUCAAUUGACUUGUGGAACACUGUUCCUCUGUUUGAGUAGACAAGAAAAUUUACUAUACUCAUACGUGUUAGCCCACUCCAACCAUCACACACAUUAUAGUAACUCCCCUCUCCUUCCAUAUUCCAUCAAAUGAGCCUAUAUAAACUUCUGCAAUUUCAUAAGCACUAGGUGGAGAUACAUUAGGCCCGAUUUCUGCUGUUGUUCUUAAAAGUGGCUUUGUCCACGGUGACUCAACAAUACUGAAGAGAAGCCUAUUAUGUAUAACAAAAUUUCCAAAUGCUUUCAACAUUUUCUCCUUCUGUGUCUUCAACCAUUUAGUUUUUAACUUUGGCUAUUUUUGUUGAGCUCUGCUUCUCUCUAUCUCAACUUCUGUGGCAGCCAACUGAGAUGCCAGUGUAGAUACUUCUGCAUAUCUUUGUGCUUCUCUACCUCUCACGUGUAGUAGCAGAACGACCCAACACUUGUCUGCUGCUACCACCAACAUCAAAUCUAGAUCCAGUUCUCCUUCUAAAUUCAUCUUCUUCCAACUGUCUCAUGCUCGUCCGUCUCGCCAUUUCCAUUUCGAUGUCCUCCUCCUCCUCAUCAUCUUCGAUUCUAUUCAUAUUCAUAAUUUCUUCUUCUAAUUCUCUUUCUCUUUUUUAUUUAUUUUUUUUAGCUAGUUGGUAUUCUUUCAGGACAGCGGCCAUAUCCUUCUUAACUUGGGAAGAAACUUUUUGACAACCUGCAAUUUGACCAGGUGUUGCAAACUUCCACCCAAUAUCAUCACUUGGUUUACCACCCCCUUGAGUAGAACCAGAACCACUUCCACGAGGCAUUUUCAAUACAAAUAUUUAAUAACUGUUUAUAAAAAUUAAAAGAUAUCAAAUGUCAAAUACAUGGAAGACAAAUAUUUUUUUUCAUAACUAAUAUUUUAAUUUUAAUCUAACUCCAUACAUUAAUUUCUAUUUAACACAAAUUAUAUAAAUAUGAAAUUUUAAUUAUCAAACUACAAGUCUUAGUCUACCACUAUUAAUUUAACUCAAAACUAACACUUUAAUCCACAAAAAUUAAACAAAAAAAAAAAUACAGCAACUAAAAAUAAUUUAAUUUCAUAAUGAUUUCUGAAAAAUAGUCUAAACUAAACUAACAAAAACCAUACAAUUUAUAGAUCGGACAAAUUAAUAGCCUCAAAGUAUAUUUUUAACUCAAAACUACAAAUUUAAUCUACAAAAAAAAAAAAAAAAAAAUACAGCAGCUCUGAAUUCUGAAAGUAAAAAUACACUAUUAAUUUAACUCAAAUCUAACACUUUAAUCCACAAAAAUGAAACAAAAAAAAUAAAAAUACAGCAACUAAAAUUAAUUUAAUUUCAUAAUAAUUUCUUAAAAAUAGUCUAAACUAACAAAAACCAUACAAUCUUUAUAGAUGGGACAAAUUAAUAGCUCAAAGUAUAUUUUUAACUCAAAACUACAAAUUUAAUCUAUAAAAAUUUAAAAAAAAAAAAAAAUACAGCAACUUUGAAAGUAAAAAUACACAGAAAUAUUAACUCACCUUUUAGAAGAAAUUGUCUUGAAAUGAAGUAGGUAAUGGUAGAUUUAAGCUUGUAAUUGUGAAUGAGAAAUGUUUAGGGAAGCUUGAGAUUGAGAUAUUUGAGAGAAAAGGAAGAGAAAGUUGGAAAUUUUAGUUGGAAAAUGAGGCUUUCUGCUGUGCUGCUUGGUGGUUGCUGGAGAAGAGGGACAAAAGUGGUCAAAUUCAAUGCAUAGGUGGUUCUGAAUAUAUUCUCUGCAAUCUGAAUUUUUUGUUGGGAUAAAGUAACGGCCGUUACCGUUACAUCACUGUCGGUAACGGCCGUUACCGUUACGUAACGGCCGUAACGGCCGUUACGGACACAUUUCAAGGGGGGCCGUUGGGUAACGGCCUCACGGGUAACGGCCCCCCUUGAUACCGUUACAUAACGGCCAUUAUGUUACGUAACGGCCGUUAUUUAAUACCCUGGUGGGAAAGUAAGUUCUGAAAGUGGGAGCUUGCAGCGUGGUUGUGAAGGUUUUGGUGAUGGAGAGAUUAGGAGAGGAAGCAGUGGACGCCAUUGUCAAGCUGAAAAUCAGAAGCUUGAAGUUCUGAAUCUUGACGCAGAGACAUGGUGAGUGAUCGUGCUAUAUAUGUAAAGGAAUGAUCAAGAGUGGUCCAAGUGGUAUGGUGAUGAUGUAAGGUGGGUCCCAUCAGCAUGCAUAUGGAUCAUGGUCCUUUAAUUUCCCAACAUGUUUCAUUGUCUCUGGGGUAGUUUGCUACUUUACUUAAGGAAGCAAAAGUGUCAUCUAAUUUGUAAUUGUCCACACAUUUAUAAUCGAAAAUGCCAUAUUUACAAAUUGGGUUAUGUAAUUCUGUGUGGUGCAUUGUUGAUUUUCUGCCAAGUGACAGUGAAGAGAUGGCAUGUGAUGAGGCUGAGCUUGGACCAGAAGAGUUUACUGAAAAAAUGCUCAAUCAACAAAAUGACACGAACAGCAACUGGAGAUGCUGAAGUACAUGCGCAAAUUUCACCUGGAAGACCAAUCUGCAAUCCUUGAAAAGUUGCACCAGCAGAUGCAAGAUGCCGAUUUUAUUGGUACGGCAUCAGUUUUAUCAUCAGAACAAAUUCAGGAUGUGGUUCGAAGGAGGGUGUCACCUUUAUUUAUACCAAGGUAGAUCAGAAUUCAUUCAUCAGUUGGCCUAGUUCCAGUUUAGCAGAGUUCUUUCAGUUUUUUACUUUAUGCUAGCCGUUUUUUGUUGUAGCAAAUGCUUCUAUACACAAUAGAACUUCUUUUCUCUGUGUUUAUCUAAUUUUACCCUCUGGCAUUCUCUACAUCAAGCAAAAGCCAUGUGCAUUCAAUUAUCA